AGUGAACGCUGGCGGUAGGCCUAACACAUGCAAGUCGAACGGCAGCACAGGAGAGCUUGCUCUCUGGGUGGCGAGUGGCGGACGGGUGAGGAAUACAUCGGAAUCUACUUUUUCGUGGGGGAUAACGUAGGGAAACUUACGCUAAUACCGCAUACGACCUACGGGUGAAAGCAGGGGACCUUCGGGCCUUGCGCGAUUGAAUGAGCCGAUGUCGGAUUAGCUAGUUGGCGGGGUAAAGGCGCACCAAGGCGACGAUCCGUAGCUGGUCUGAGAGGAUGAUCAGCCACACUGGAACUGCGACACGGUCCAGACUACUACGGGAGGCAGCAGUGGGGAAUAUUGGACAAUGGGCGCAAGCCUGAUCCAGCCAUACCGCGUGGGUGAAGAAGGCCUUCGGGUUGUAAAGCCCUUUUGUUGGGAAAGAAAUCCAGCUGGCUAAUACCCGGUUGGGAUGACGGUACCCAAAGAAUAAGCACCGGCUAACUUCGUGCCAGCCGCCGCCGUAA
This 506-nucleotide ribosomal RNA is filed under the name uncultured bacterium. Its description in RNAcentral is "partial 16S ribosomal RNA". It matches the Rfam family "Bacterial small subunit ribosomal RNA", at positions 29 to 523 of the family's 1533-position model. The record is from RNAcentral.